GGCAACCGGCCCCAUAUAUCUAAGGUAAAGGGCGUUUACUCGGUUUGUGCUCGACCAUAGGGAAAGGUUCGUUGUGCGUGUAGAGGGCUCCGCAGCGUUGAUCCUAAUGGUGACGGCUGUGAUGACGAUCCUGAAUAAACGAGAGACUUUCUAUCCCGAGAAUUUCAUUUGAUCUUAUCUAAGUGACCUUUGCUCUGGGGCUUCGGAGCUUCCUUGACUUUCCGAGCUCUUCUAUGAGUCCUGCCCCUACCUAAUCUUUCGUUCGAUUGCCCACUAAACAAGCAAGAAACUACGGCUACCUGCUUAAUCCAU
RNAcentral lists this unclassified non-coding RNA (312 nucleotides) under Hevea brasiliensis (rubber tree). The record is from RNAcentral. Lineage: Eukaryota; Viridiplantae; Streptophyta; Magnoliopsida; Malpighiales; Euphorbiaceae.